RNAcentral lists this ribosomal RNA (253 nucleotides) under uncultured Eubacteriales bacterium. RNAcentral describes it as "uncultured Clostridiales bacterium partial 16S ribosomal RNA". It matches the Rfam family "Bacterial small subunit ribosomal RNA", at positions 524 to 776 of the family's 1533-position model. Lineage: Bacteria; Bacillati; Bacillota; Clostridia; Eubacteriales. The record is from RNAcentral.
UACGUAGGGAGCAAGCGUUAUCCGGAAUUAUUGGGUGUAAAGGGUGCGUAGACGGGAUAACAAGUUGGUUGUGAAACCCCUCGGCUCAACUGAGGAACUGCAACCAAAACUAUUAUUCUUGAGUGCAGGAGAGGAAAGUGGAAUUCCUAGUGUAGCGGUGAAAUGCGUAGAUAUCGCGCAGAACUCCGAUUGCGAAGGCAGCGUACCGGCGCCAGACUGACGCUGAGGCACGAAAGCGUGGGGAUCGAACAGG